RNAcentral lists this ribosomal RNA (483 nucleotides) under Durinskia baltica. RNAcentral's name for it is "partial Bacterial small subunit ribosomal RNA". It matches the Rfam family "Bacterial small subunit ribosomal RNA", at positions 918 to 1399 of the family's 1533-position model. The record is from RNAcentral. Lineage: Eukaryota; Dinophyceae; Peridiniales; Kryptoperidiniaceae.
GGCCCGCACAAGCGGUGGAGCAUGUGGUUUAAUUCGACGCAACGCGAAGAACCUUACCUGGCCUUGACAUGCAGAGAACUUUCCAGAGAUGGAUUGGUGCCUUCGGGAACUCUGACACAGGUGCUGCAUGGCCGUCGUCAGCUCGUGUCGUGAGAUGUUGGGUUAAGUCCCGCAACGAGCGCAACCCUUGUUCCAUGUUGCCAGCACGUAAUGGUGGGGACUCAUGGGAGACUGCCGGGGUCAACUCGGAGGAAGGUGGGGAUGACGUCAAGUCAUCAUGCCCCUUAUGUCCAGGGCUUCACACAUGCUACAAUGGCUCAUACAGAGGGCUGCGAGACCGUGAGGUGGAGCGAAUCCCUUAAAGUGAGUCUCAGUUCGGAUCGGGGUCUGCAACUCGACCCCGUGAAGUUGGAGUCGCUAGUAAUCGCAGAUCAGCAACGCUGCGGUGAAUACGUUCCCGGGCCUUGUACACACCGCCCGUCA